This 434-nucleotide ribosomal RNA is filed under the name uncultured archaeon. Its description in RNAcentral is "bacterial SSU rRNA". It matches the Rfam family "Archaeal small subunit ribosomal RNA", at positions 19 to 458 of the family's 1478-position model. The record is from RNAcentral.
GGACCUGACUGCUAUCGGAUUGAUACUAAGCCAUGCGAGUCAUUGUAGCAAUACAAGGCAUACGGCUCAGUAACGCGUAGUCAACCUAACCUAUGGACGGGAAUAACCUCGGGAAACUGAGAAUAAUGCCCGAUAGAACAUUAUGCCUGGAAUGGUUUAUGUUCCAAAUGAUUUAUCGCCGUAGGAUGGGACUGCGGCCUAUCAGUUUGUUGGUGAGGUAAUGGCCCACCAGGACUAUUACAGGUACGGGCUCUGAGAGGAGUAGCCCGGAGAUGGGUACUGAGACACGGACCCAGGCCCUAUGGGGCGCAGCAGGCGAGAAAACUUUGCAAUGUGCGAAAGCACGACAAGGUUAAUCCGAGUGGUUUCUGCUAAAGAAACCUUUUGUCAGUCCUAGAAACACUGAUGAAUAAGGGGUGGGCAAGUUCUGGUGU